Molecule: long non-coding RNA, 272 nt
Organism: Colias croceus (clouded yellow)
Lineage: Eukaryota; Metazoa; Arthropoda; Insecta; Lepidoptera; Pieridae
Exons: 2
Source: RefSeq, a predicted model, not a curated record
UUCACGUCUACCCUCUUAGAGAUUAUUAUAACAAAAGGUGUCUCAUUUAAUUAUUCAGUCAAACAAAACUCUAUUUAAAUAUGUUACGCUUAAGUAAUGAAGACUGGGAGCGAAAGAAGUGGUAGGUAUUUGGCAAGAAAGUAUUUUGAGGACGAACCAAAGGAGGCAGUUCUCCAUCUUAUAUUUAUCGUCUCCUGUCAGAGUUGUACGAUCCAAAUGAUUAAGUAUCAAAUUUAAAUGGAGAGCUUGUAAAUAAAAUAUAUUAUUGGAAA